Oncorhynchus tshawytscha (Chinook salmon) is the source of this 1244-nucleotide long non-coding RNA. Lineage: Eukaryota; Metazoa; Chordata; Actinopteri; Salmoniformes; Salmonidae. The record is from Ensembl.
AAGGGUGUUGAAGCCAUAUAAAUGUAUGAACUCUGGUUUAGUGAAGUCCAAAUCCACACAGCGAUAAUUCUAUGACUCAGUAUGUUUGUUUUAGUGGUUUUAUUGCGCCAUCCUCAAGACUUGACAGAUAUUACAACCAGACGAACAGAAACCCUCUCGGGUACAUCUACAGAUGAAACAUCAGUCUAUCACUUUUAAAUGGUUACAUUUCGACUAUUUGACUAAUGAUACAAGUUAAGCAUUUUCACACACAGCAUACUGUCAUUCAGACAACAUGGUGAGUAAUUAUACACUACCGACUGAUAUCAAGCUGAAUGUAAAAGCUGCUCGCCAACAGACAGAAAAUACAUUUAUAAAUAAUGACAAAUAAAUACACAACGGAGACGACAACGAGUGGAGAACCUUCUAGUCAGUGUGACAGAAGUAAAACAGUUUAUCUGUAAACAAUGAAUAAUGAUAAAGGAGAAUAAAGUUACCACACUGCUACAGCGCUGCUAUUGGCCAGGGUUAGAUCUACAGCGCUGCCAUUGGUCAGGGUUAGAUCUACAGCGCUGCCAUUGGCCAGGGUUAGAUCUACAGCGCUGCCAUUGGCCAGGGUUAGAUCUACAGCGCUGCCAUUGGCCAGGGUUAGAUCUACAGCGCUGCCAUUGGUCAGGGUUAGAUCUACAGCGCUGCCAUUGGCCAGGGUUAGAUCUACAGCGCUGCCAUUGGCCAGGGUUAGAUCUACAGCGCUGCCAUUGGCCAGGGUUAGAUCUACAGCGCUGCCAUUGGCCAGGGUUAGAUCUACAGCGCUGCCAUUGGCCAGGGUUAGAUCUACAGCGCUGCCAUUGGCCAGGGUUAGAUCUACAGCGCUGCCAUUGGCCAGGGUUAGAUCUACAGCGCUGCUAUUGGCCAGGGUUAGAUCUACAGCACUGCCAUUGGUCAGGGUUAGAUCUACAGCGCUGCCAUUGGUCAGUGUGGUAACAUGGAUAACAGAUCAGUGUGGUAACAUGGAUAACAGAUCAGUGUGGUAACAUGGAUAACAGAUCAGUGUGGUAACAUGGAUAACAUGGAUACAGAUCAGUGUGGUAACAUGGAUAACAGAUCAGUGUGGUAACGUGGAUAACAGAUCAGUGUGGUAACGUGGAUAACAGAUCAGUGUGGUAACGUGGAUAACAGAUCAGUGUGGUAACAUGGAUAACAGAUCAGUGUGGUAACAUGGAUAACAGAUCAGUGUGGUAACAUGGAUAACAGAUCAGUGUGGU